Non-coding RNA from Equus caballus (horse), 11198 nucleotides. The record is from RefSeq and is a predicted model, not a curated record. Lineage: Eukaryota; Metazoa; Chordata; Mammalia; Perissodactyla; Equidae.
CCUGGGCCACCAACACAGAGCGUGUGAACUUAACCACUUGGCCAUGGGGUCAGCCCCAAGAGUUGAUUUCUUUAUGAACUGUUAAAAAUUUAUGAAAUUUGGAAAAAAUUGCAACGUAUGUUAUCAAGACAUGUGGAAACAGAUUCUUUCAUACAUUGCUGGUGGAAUGUAAAUUAGAGGGCAUUUUGACUGUUAAAUAUUAAAAUUUCAAAUGUAUAUGUGCAUAUCCUUUGAAACCAGCAUUUCCAUCUCUUCGUAUUUAUUCUAAGAAAGUAAGUGGAUAAGUGCAUAGAUCACUGCAGUAUUGUUUAGAGCAGUGAAAAAUUUGAACCAAUCUAAAUAUUCGUUAUUUGGGGAUUGAUUUCAGAAUUUAGAUAUACUCCAAAAUAUACGUAAGUUGAGUAUUGUGUUCUCAGGAAUUGUUAACAUUCUAAUAAUUACUAAGUAAAUUGGCUGACUUUUCACAUGAACACAAAUACAGUUCCAUCUCUUCACUAUUUUUGAGAAGUUUUUAAGGAGUGAACAUUUUCAUAGAAGAGCUGUCAUAUAUUGGCUAAUAGCUAAUAUUUUUGACCACUUAUGUGUGUGGCAGGUCCUGGACUGAGCAUUUGACAUGUGUUACCUGACUUAAUCCCUGCAACAGCCCAGUGUCGUGGAUAGUAAUUAAUCCCCAAGGAAACUUCAGUAUUAAAUAGCUAGUAAGUAAGGGGAGAUAGUGGAGAAAGUCAGAAGGGUUCUGAUCUCAGCUAUAUUAUUUACUUAACACUUUUAGAGAUACUUUACUUGUCUAUAAAGUUAAAAUAACAGCAUCUCAGACACUGUUGGAAGAUUACAUGACAAAAUGCAUUUGAAGCACAGAAUAUAUGGACAAAUUUAAAACAGUAUUUAAAUUUUAAUCAGAACCUUAAAAGGUGAUAAAAUUGAAUCAGAGAUAUUAUGACCUAUUCAAAAUCAAGUAAAAAUUUAUUCUUGAAAAAUAGAGUACAAACCUUUGAAUGAUCUUGAUGAUGGUCCAGAUUCUGUGCUUUAUUCUCAGUCUCUAGCCUAUUAAAAUGGGUAAAUUAGAGAGAAAAUUAUUUAGAAGUUAGAUUUUGGGAAAACAAGGGAGAAUUGAUUAAAUGAAAGGAAAUAAAAUUCAUUGCUGGUGUUUUAUUUCAGAUAAACACAAGGAAAUCCUUAAAUUGUGUCACUUAGCAACAUUACUCUUUCCCUCCUCACCGAAAACUAAAGUAAAAUAGCUAGUAAAAGGUGUGUUUGCAUUACCAAAACUUUGUGGUCAUUGUGUGAAUUCUUUUAAGUCAAUAGCUUCAAGGUUCCCAGUUAUCUUUCCUUUUCCAUCACUUGUUCUUAGAGCCUUCUAGAGGCAAGUUGGUUAUUACUGUAAGCUGCUUCUUAUAAACAUGCCAUUUCUUGUAAAAUGUCUUUAAGAAAAAUAAUUAUCCAUCUGUGCUUCCAUUUAUUUAUUUUUUUAAAUCUGAAAAUGAUGGAUCUGAGAAACCAUUUGAAUAACUAACUGUAUGAUAGUGCUUUACUAGGUUUUGGGUAGCUGCAAAGGAGUAAAGAAAGGAGUUGAUGGUAUAGUAAAAGAAUCAUUCAAAUAUGAAACAUGUUAUGAGUUUAAAAGAUAGAAGGAUAGUAUCUAAAGGAGGAGCUUGGCGAAAGCUUCAUGGGGCCUGGGCAUUUUUUAGCUUUACCUUGAAAGAUGAUUAGAAUUUCAGUAGAAUUAAAAGAAGAGCAGUUUGGUGAAGGUAAUGGUAAGGCCACAGAUAUGAAUGCAGGAAAGCGAGCGGCAGUGGUCUUCCAGGCUUUUAAAAAAUAAAGAUACCAGGCCUUACCCUACAAAUUGAUUUAAUGGGAAUGUAAACAGAAAGGAAUGACUGUUGUGGGAGUUACUGUGGGAUGAUGAUUUAUGAGAUUUGGUAACCCGGUUUUAAUGAGAAUUUAAGAAGUAGAGAUUAUGCCACUCCUCUUACUGCAUCAUUCUCUGAAAUCCUGGUUUUAUUGGUGAAUUCAUGGCAGGAACAGGUUUCUCACUGUCAGCAGCAGUAUCAAGGCUAUACACCAAAAGUCGGCAUCGUUCCUUCCCAGACAUUACUAGUGCUACUCAAAGUGUAGUCUGCAGACCAGUGCUAGUUUACCAACUGUUUAUUACAGAUCUGCAACAAGAGAAUGCAGAGUCUAUUGAUCUUAAGCAGUUUUUUGACCAACACUUUUCACAUAUAUAUUAUGUGUUCUUUGAGAAUUUUGUGACUAUUGAAGCUAGUCUUAAACAGAAAGGUCACAAGUCUCAAAGAGAAGAAUUGGAUGCUAUACUUUUUAUUUUUGAGAAAAUUUUACAACUUCUUCCAGAAAGAAUUCAUCAGCGAUGGCAGUUUCAUAGUAUUGGAUUGAUUUUAAAGAAACUACUGCACACAGGAAACUCCUUGAAGAUCAGGCGGGAAGGUGUUCGUCUUUUCUUAUUAUGGUUGCAAGCUCUUCAGAAUAACUGUAGCAAAGAACAGCUUUGGAUGUUUUCAUGCUUAAUCCCUGGAUUUUCAGCACCACAAUCUGAACAUGGACCUCGAACUUUAGAUAAUCUCAUUAAUCCUCCACUCAACCUUCAAGAAACUCAAGUUACUAUAGAGGAAAUCACUCCUCUUGUCCCCCCACAAUCAGGAGAUAAAGGACAAGAAGAUCUCACAAGCUACUUUCUUGAAGCACUUUUAAAAUAUAUAGUAAUUCAGGUAAAAAGUUUAGAAUGGAAGAAUAAAGAAAACCAAGAAAGGGGAUUUUCAUUUUUGUUUUCACAUUUUAAGAAAUAUUACUUGCCUUACAUUUUCCCAAACAUCUGCAAGGAGAACAGUCUGUAUCAUCCUGUACUUGAUAUCCCCCAGAUGAGACCAAAGCCACAUUAUGUCAUGAUAAAGAAGGAUACUGAAACCAAUGAAGCAAUCUAUUGUACAAAGGAGCCUUUCAUUAAGGCUCGUGUUAUUGUCAUUCGUUGGCUGGUUUCUUUCUGGCUUGAGCCAAAGCCACAUACAGGACCUCAUAUUCCUGGGAUGGAAGGUGAAGCGGUGCCAAAGAAUAUUCAGAGAGCAGCUGCUAGUUUAGUAUCCAGAGAAGAAAACAAAAGUGAUAAUGCUGAUAAAGCAGAUCGAACUGCAGAACCAGAACAGUCUCAUUCCAAUACGAGCACGCUCACCGAGCGAGAGCCGAGCUCCUCCAGUCUCUGCAGCAUCGAUGAAGAGCAUCUCACAGACAUUGAAAUCGUUCGCAGGGUCUUUUCUUCUAAAAGAAGUAAUGUAAACUUUGUCACAGAGAUAUUUCGUCAGGCAUUUUUAUUACCAAUUUGUGAAGCAGCCGCUAUGAGAAAAGUGGUAAAAGUAUAUCAGGAAUGGAUCCAGCAAGAGGAAAAACCUUUGUUCAUGCAAGAGCCUGAAGAAAUUGUCAUCUCUUCUUCAGACUUACCUUGCAUUGACAGUGUCACAGACCGUGAUAUUUCAAUGGAAGAAGGAGAAAAGAGAGAAGAGGAAAAUGAGACUAGUAUUGCUGAUCACGUUCGAAAUUCUGCUUGGGCAAAAAAUGGCACCUACGAAGAUGUUCUUCAUAAUGCCUCUGAAGAAGCCAUAGAACAAAACACACGAGCUGGUACCCAGGCAGUUUUACAGGUGUUUAUUAUAAACUCAUCAAACAUAUUUCUUCUUGAACCUGCAAAUGAAAUAAAAAAUCUUCUGGAUGAGCACACAGAUAUGUGUAAACGCAUUCUUAAUAUUUAUCGGUUCAUGGUUGUGCAAGUAUCAAUGGACAAAAAGACUUGGGAACAGAUGCUGCUUGUGUUGCUCAGAGUCACGGAGUCUGUACUGAAGACGCCAUCACAAGCUUUUCUGCAGUUCCAGGGGAAAAAAAACAUGACCUUGGCAGGUCGACUUGCAGGACCACUUUUCCAGACUCUUAUAGUUGCCUGGAUCAAGGCAAAUCUAAAUGUGUACAUCUCCCGAGAACUGUGGGAUGACUUACUCUCAGUAUUGUCAUCGUUGACCUAUUGGGAAGAGUUAGCCACUGAGUGGUCACUGACUAUGGAGACACUAACUAAAGUUUUAGCUAGAAAUUUAUAUAGUUUGGAUCUCAGUGAUUUACCAUUGGAUAAGCUGAGUGAACAAAAGCAAAAAAAGCACAAAGGGAAAGGAGUUGGACAUGAAUUUCAGAAAGUUUCAGUUGACAAGUCAUUUUCCAGAGGAUGGAGUCGCGAUCAGCCUGGCCAAGCCCCCAUGAGACAGAGAAGUGCAACAACCACUGGUUCCCCAGGAACCGAAAAGGCGAGGAGUAUAGUACGUCAAAAAACAGUUGCCAUGAGAAGCCGAUCCAUUGGUGAAUGUGCUCUGCCAUCGGCCUAUAUACGCAGUGCUAAAAGUGCUCCUGUUCUGAUCCAUACUUCCAAACCCUUCUUGCCUGAUAUUGUUCUCACUCCCCUUUCUGAUGAGCUUUCAGAUAUUGAUGAUGCUCAAAUACUUCCCCGCCCAACUAGAGUCAGACAUUUUUCACAAAGUGAAGACACUGGAAAUGAAGUUUUUGGUGCUUUGAAUGAGGAGCAGCCAUUGCCUCGAAGUAGCAGCACUUCUGACAUCUUGGAACCAUUCACUGUUGAACGAGCCAAAGGUGCAGUUCCUGUCAUUGACAGUUCAUCCCGUCAUGCGCCAAGCUUGCAGAGUUCCACAGAGGCUUCUUCAAUAACUAGAUCCACUGAAAGCCACAUCACUGAUACUCAUAGUAGAGAGUCUUCUCUGGAAGUUGGUGAUAGCAUAUAUGACCAUCUUUGCCACUUAAUAGAUCCAGUAGAACUUGCAGAUUCAGCUUUUGAACAGAUCCAGUACAUUGACCUUGAAGGAGAUGAUGAUCUUCUUUCCUCUCUGAAAGAAUAUUUUAAGGAAAACCAGGAAAAUCAUAGUAAAAAUGAGUUAGGUAAAGAUGCAGCUUCUCAGGAAGUGAUUAUUGCCGUAAAUAGGGAUGAAAGAUCAUCCUUAGAUAAAUUAGAAAACAUAGACCAGGAAAGUAAAUCAGAAAAUAUCACCUCCUUUGUUGGGACUCCUGAAAACAUACAGUUUCAAAAAGAACCAAACUCAGCUGUCUUCAUGAGUAGUAUUGCACCUAACCAGUUAGACAGUUUUAUGAGAACAAAAACUUCUGAAAAAUCUAAACAACUAAACAGUGAUAAACAGUCAUCGGAACCUAGUUCAGGUAGCCCUUGUGAUAAAGAGAAGAGGAAACAUCUGUCUAGACAGACAGCCACAGAAUUAGAUGCCUGUGUAGAUAUGACAUUAGUUGAAAAGGUUAAGAGUGUGCAAAUUAAUGAAAAAAUCACUGUCCCACAUGUUAUGCAUGCCAAGAAAACUACACUAAAAGCACCUGUUAACCGUAGAAUGCCUCAUGUUACAAACACUAGCAAGCUUUCUCCAACUAAAAGGAGCUUGUCUGAAACAGUAACUCAUAGAGCCAAAAUCAUGAAAAUUGCUACUAAAAAGCGAAAUAGUGUUCAUGUUACUUUUAGACCAUCUACUGAGUCGGUUCAGUUUUAUAACCCUCUGGAAAACAAAGAGGCUCCAUGGAAGAUGAGACUGCGGAAGCUCAGUGGCUUCAGUAGUAGUAGCAGUAGCAGCACCAGCAACACCCAUGCCAGCUCAAACAGUGUUCCAGAGCUAGUCAAACCUGGUGUGUACAGGCCUCUAGAUACAGUUAGUGCAACAACAGUAAGUAGUAAAACAAUUAAGGAAUCUACAGAGAUUCCCACCACCAUAUCACCAAAAGAAGGAGUAGCAAGUAAUCAGCCAGGGAGUCGCAGUGCUCUUAGGUCAAGUCACGAGGCAGGGCUACAGCAGGGCUCCCUGGGUGGCGUUUAUAAAACUGUUGUACAUGCUCUUUCGAAGCCGAAGGCAAAUGUUUCCCCACAGAGGCAGAACAGAAUGCCACCAGAGGCUCCACUGAGGGAUCUGUACAGUCAUGUAAUGGGCUAUUUUGGAAGGAAAGCUGCAGUCAAUAAAGAGGACAUGAGCCCCAAACUGCCCCCUCUUAAUAGUGAUAUUGGCAGCAGCAAUGCUAAUGUUCCUGAUCUGAUGGAUGAGUUUAUAGCAGAACGACUUCGAAGUGGUAAUGCCUCAACUAUGACAAGAAGAGGAAGUAGUCCAGGCAGCCUCGAAAUUCCCAAAGACCUCCCUGAUAUUCUAAACAAGCAGAGCCAAAUGCGUCCUAUCGAUGACCCAGGUGUGCCCUCAGAAUGGACUUCUCCUGCUAGUGCAGGGAGCAGUGAUCUUAUCAGCUCAGACAGUCAUUCGGAUUCUUUCAGCGCUUUCCAGUAUGAUGGCCGAAAAUUUGACAAUUUUGGCUUUGGAGCUGAUACUGGGAUUGUGUCCUCUGCUGAUGUGGAUUCAGGUUCUGCCCAUCAUCAGAGUGCUGAAGAGCAAGAAGUGGCCAGUCUAACCACGCUUCACAUAGAUUCUGAAACAAGCAGUCUUAAUCAACAGGCUUUUUCUGCUGAAGUUGCAACAGUUACUGGUUCAGAAAGUGCUUCUCCCAUCCAUUCAGCUCUGGGAUCCCGGUCACAGACGCCUUCUCCCUCUACCCUGAAUGCAGAUCACAUGGAGCAGAAGGACCUCCAGCUGGAUGAGAAGCUCCACCACUCCGUUCUUCAGACACCAGAUGACCUAGAAAUCAGUGAAUUUCCAUCUGAAUGCUGUAGUGUGAUGGCAGGGGGUACUCUCACGGGAUGGCAUGCUGAUGUUGCUACUGUAAUGUGGCGAAGAAUGCUAGGCAUUUUGGGAGAUGUCAACGCUAUCAUGGAUCCUGAAAUACAUGCUCAAGUUUUUGAUUACCUCUGUGAACUUUGGCAGAAUCUAGCUAAGAUUAGAGAUAACCUCGGCAUUUCAACUGAUAACCUGACCUCCCCUUCUCCACCAGUUUUGAUUCCUCCACUGAGAAUUCUUACACCUUGGCUUUUCAAGGCAACCAUGUUGACAGAUAAAUAUAAACAAGGUAAAUUACACGCUUAUAAACUUAUUUGUAAUACAAUGAAAAGAAGACAAGAUGUUUCUCCAAAUAGAGAUUUUCUAACACAUUUCUACAAUAUCAUGCAUUGUGGAUUACUUCAUAUUGACCAGGAUAUUGUCAAUACAAUCAUCAAGCACUGCUCACCCCAGUUUUUUUCACUUGGUUUACCUGGUGCCACGAUGCUUAUUAUGGAUUUUAUUAUAGCAGCUAGUAGAGUGGCUUCUUCAGCUUUUCUCAAUGCACCAAGAGUGGAAGCACAAGUUCUCCUGGGCUCCUUGGUUUGCUUUCCCAACUUAUAUUGUGAACUGCCUGCUCUCCACCCCAACAUUCCUGAUAUUGCUGUGUCUCAAUUUACAGAUGUUAAGGAACUUAUAAUCAAAACUGUAUUAAGUUCCGCAAGAGAUGAGCCCUCUGGUCCUGCACGAUGUGUAGCACUUUGCAGUUUAGGAAUUUGGAUUUGUGAAGAACUAGUCCAUGAGUCUCAUCAUCCUCAAAUUAAGGAAGCUCUGAAUGUAAUUUGUGUUUCCUUAAAGUUUACUAAUAAAACAGUGGCCCAUGUAGCUUGUAACAUGCUUCACAUGCUGGUUCAUUAUGUACCUAGACUUCAGAUUUACCAACCUGAUUCUCCCUUGAAAAUUAUUCAAAUCCUAAUAGCCACUAUUACCCAUCUUUUGCCAAGUACAGAAGCUUCGUCUUAUGAAAUGGACAAGAGGUUGGUGGUAUCCUUACUUUUGUGCCUUCUGGACUGGAUCAUGGCCUUACCUCUGAAGACACUGCUUCAGCCAGUCCAUGCUACAGGAGCAGAAAAUGACAAAAUAGAAAAAUCUGUCCUCAACUGCAUUUAUAAGGUAUUACAUGGGUGUGUUUAUGGAGCUCAGUGUUUUAGCAAUCCAAAGUAUUUUCCAAUAAGCCUCUCUGAUUUGGCAUCUGUAGAUUAUGAUCCUUUUAUGCAUUUGGAAAGUCUGAAAGAGCCUGAACCUCUGCACUCCCCUGAUUCAGAACGAUCUUCUAAACUCCAGCCUGUAACAGAAGUGAAAACUCAAAUGCAACAAGGAUUAAUCUCAAUAGCUGCCCGCACUGUUAUUACACACCUGGUAAAUCACUUGGGCCAUUAUCCAAUGAGUGGUGGUCCUGCUAUGUUAACAAGUCAGGUGUGUGAAAAUCAUGACAAUCAUUACAGUGAAAGUACUGAACUUUCUCCUGAACUCUUUGAGAGUCCAAAUAUCCAGUUCUUUGUGUUGAACAAUACAACAUUAGUGUCCUGUAUCCAGAUCAGGUCAGAAGAAAGUAUACCUGGAGGAGGUUUGUCUGCUGGUCUUGCAUCAGCCAAUUCAAAUGUCAGAAUCAUAGUACGUGAUCUCUCUGGAAAAUAUUCAUGGGAUUCUGCCAUCCUGUAUGGACCACCUCCUGUAAGUGGUUUGUCAGAACCUACAUCUCUCAUACUUUCAUUGUCUCGCCAAGAGAAACCAGAAGAGCCUCCUCCAUCUAAUGAAUGCUUAGAAGAUAUAACAGUAAAAGAUGGGAUACCCCUCCAGUUUAAAAGAAGAUUUAGAGAAACCGUACCGACUUGGGAUACAAUAAAAGAUGAAGAAGAUGUUCUUGAUGAGCUUUUGCAGUAUUUAGGUGUAACUAGUCCUGAAUGCUUACAGAGAACUGGAAUCUCACUUAAUAUUCCUGCUCCACAACCUGUGUGCAUUUCUGAAAAACAGGAAAAUGAUGUUAUCAAUGCUAUCCUUAAGCAACAUACAGAGGAAAAAGAAUUUGUUGAGAAACACUUUAAUGACUUAAACAUGAAAGCUGUGGAGCAAGAUGAGCCAACACCUCAGAAGCCUCAGUCAGCAUUUUAUUAUUGCAGAUUGCUUCUUAGUAUAUUGGGAAUGAAUUCCUGGGAUAAAAGGAGGAGCUUUCAUCUCUUGAAGAAAAAUGAAAAACUACUUAGAGAACUUAGGAAUUUGGACUCAAGACAGUGCCGAGAGACACACAAGAUUGCAGUAUUUUAUGUUGCUGAAGGACAAGAAGACAAACAUUCCAUUCUUACCAAUACAGGAGGAAGUCAAGCGUAUGAGGAUUUUGUAGCUGGUCUUGGUUGGGAGGUAAAUCUUACAAACCAUUGCGGUUUCAUGGGAGGACUACAAAAAAACAAAAGCACUGGACUGACCACGCCAUAUUUUGCUACCUCUACAGUAGAAGUAGUAUUUCAUGUAUCGACAAGAAUGCCUUCUGAUUCUGAUGACUCUCUGACCAAAAAAUUGAGACAUUUAGGAAAUGAUGAAGUGCACAUUGUUUGGUCAGAGCAUACUAGAGACUACAGAAGAGGAAUUAUUCCUACAGAAUUUGGUGAUGUCCUUAUUGUAAUAUAUCCAAUGAAAAAUCACAUGUUCAGUAUCCAGAUAAUGAAAAAACCAGAGGUUCCCUUCUUUGGUCCACUUUUUGAUGGUGCUAUUGUGAAUGGAAAGGUCCUGCCCAUUAUGGUUCGAGCAACAGCUAUAAAUGCAAGCCGUGCUCUGAAAUCGCUGAUUCCACUCUAUCAAAACUUAGUUAAAAGAGGAAAAGAUUCAAGUACUGUAGAUUGAGUUGGCUCAUUUUGAUUUGUUUAUAAGCCUACAUCAAAUCUGGAAAAUUAUAAAGAAUAUUUAGCAUUUAGAAGAAGGGAAAUUCUUUUGAAGUUCAACCCCAGCAUAAAGAAUUGAAAAUAAUGGACUGCAAGGAUUGGAGUUCAGAUUAUUUCAAUAUUUGAUGCAUAAAAUAAACUGUCAUACAAGAAUAGAGUGCUCAAGCCAUUUAGAGGGCAGAAGACAUCACAGUCUAAGUUAAGCACCUAAUGAAUAUAGUCUUACCUUUACCUCUUUUCCUCUUCUUAAUCAAUAACCUUUUGUAAGUGUAACUGGCUGUAUCUCCCAUUGGAUAUCAUUUUAAAUUAUAUUCCUCUCAAAUUAUUUUUCUUGGUCUUAGUUGUAGACUUGGUCUACACUUUCUAGAAUUGUAGAACAAUAGUUGAAUUGCAAUUUUAAAAGAAUAAGGAAUUUUGAGGAGAAAAUAUUGAAGUGGGUUUUGGAAAAAAUUCAGUGAAGAAAGAAGAACAAAUGGGCAAAUUUUAUUAUCCUUUAUACUUAUUUAAAUAUCUUAUGUAAAGCCUAUCAACAUAGCACGUUGAGUACAGCAGGAAAAUUUCAAAAGUUGUAGAAGAAAGGUUAACUGAUUUCUCAGUUCAGGAACUAUACGACAUGAAGUCAGCAUGUGAGUUUUUCCUGAUAAUUGUAUGUUGCUGCCUGCUGCUCUACAUUUUGACAGCCAUUUCCAUAGUUGCUUUCGUGAACAACAGAAAUAUUCUCUCUCUUUCUCGCCCUCUCUGUGCUAACAGCACAAUCAGGCCUGCUGAAACAGGAAGCCUGGAGUGGGUUGUUCAAAAGCAACAACACUUCAAGGGACUGGUUGCUUGUCAAUAAUAUCAGAGAAGAAAAUGUGGUGAAAGGGAAGUACAGUAUUUUUCUGUCAGUGUCAGUGCCCUGUAGAUGCUUUGUUAGACAGUGUUUAGGAGUCCUGUGGACUCUUUGCAAAUAUUCCUGCUUGUUUCAGUGUUGUAAUUGACUAGGUAUUUUUUCCUGACAUACGGAUCCAACUAUGUAUUUAUCUUAACCGCAUGGAGUUAUUCAAGGAUUACAGCAACAGUAGUCUUCCAUUCAAAAUGAGAACAAUUGUUGGGUAAAUGCAGGGAUUUUAGAAAAAGAAGAAGAUAUGCAGGAAUUUUUCACAAUAAAUCCAUACAAAUGAAAACUAUAGAAUUUCAGACAUAGCAUUUUAAACAGCAUUAUAAUUGUGUGGCUUUUCAAAGUAAAUCUGCAGAUCGAAGCUGAUUAACAAGGUAAGAUGAGCCUAGGCUGACCUGAUAGCAGUUGAAUCCUUUCUCAAGUAAACUAUUACCUUUCUUUCUUCCUACAAUUUAGUUUUAAUUAUUUUCUAAUAAAUGUCUCCCUGUUAAGCUGCCAUUUAUAAUGAUAUCCUGAAUAGUAAACUUAUGUUAAAAACUGUAUUUUUACUCUUUAAAAAGCCAUACUUUUAAUGAUUUACAAGAAUAGUUAGUGAAUAGUUAUGUUUAUUAAGAAGUAAUGGCUUAGCCAUCAUAGCAGUCCUUUCUGAUGAGAUCUCUUCGUUUCCAAUGUAAGCCACAUUUAAGUUCACCC